RNAcentral lists this unclassified non-coding RNA (234 nucleotides) under rhizosphere metagenome. Its description in RNAcentral is "partial ribosomal RNA internal transcribed spacer region". The record is from RNAcentral.
GUAGGUGAACCUGCGGAAGGAUCAUUAUUGAAAUAAACCUGAUGGGUUGUUGCUGGUUCUCUAGAGAGCAUGUGCACGCCUUGUCAUCUUUAUAUCUCCACCUGUGCACCCUUUGUAGACCCUGGAUUUUUUUUCAUGGUCUAUGUUGCUUCUUCAUAUACCCCAAUGUAUGUUAAUAGAAUGUUUGUGCUUAUAAAAUCUAUACAACUUUCAGCAACGGAUCUCUUGGCUCUC